GGGCCUGGUCGGCUCCAGCAGGUGCAUGGUCUUUCCCACGCGCACCUGCUGGCCUGCGCCUCGCGCGCCCUCUGCUGGUCAUAGCCGGUAAGUGCACUGAGGAAAGGGCCCGUCCGGGAAAUGUUAGUAAAUCAAUCCGAAUCUCGUUUCCACAGCUACCCAAACGGUUUGUAGGACGGUUACUUUCCUCAUUUUCAGUCUCCCAGAGCUAGGAGUUCACAUCCUAAGUCAAUCUGUGUCCUAGAAAGUACUUCAGAGAGCUCCGUUUCCUAGGAUCAGAUUUCCUCCCUUCCCUAAGAGCAGUGUUAUUUUAAUUAACGACAGAUGAGCGCACAGGCAAAGGUUCUCUGGACAGGUAUGGGGUCAUAAAAAGAAGGAGACGAUGCCAAAGGAUCGCGGUUUUGCUUAUUUAUUUCGAUGUUUCCUUAGGGCAGUGGACUUUUGGGACAUUCUUACGCGAGCGUUAAAAUCCACUGAUAAACCGUGUAAGUCAGAGCCCUCACGUCCCGAGUUAGAGGGAACCACCAGCAGGAGAGAGGACAGAGGAAGAGGGCGGCGAAGGCGAGUGAAGGAGACGAACAGGGGCCGUAGCAGAGGACAGGACCCGGGCCUUUGGCCCGCAGCAUCCCAGAAGGAUAACUUGUCAGGGCCGUGA
This 655-nucleotide long non-coding RNA is filed under the name Chinchilla lanigera (long-tailed chinchilla). Its description in RNAcentral is "lncRNA (ENSCLAG00000029269.1)". The record is from RNAcentral. Lineage: Eukaryota; Metazoa; Chordata; Mammalia; Rodentia; Chinchillidae.